RNAcentral lists this ribosomal RNA (1971 nucleotides) under Listeria monocytogenes serotype 1/2b. RNAcentral's name for it is "partial 23S ribosomal RNA". It matches the Rfam family "Bacterial large subunit ribosomal RNA", at positions 354 to 2323 of the family's 2925-position model. Lineage: Bacteria; Bacillati; Bacillota; Bacilli; Caryophanales; Listeriaceae. The record is from RNAcentral.
GCCAAAGACGGUAACAGCCCGGUAGUUGAAAUGGCUUUCCCUCCAGAGUGGAUCCUGAGUACGGCGGAACACGUGAAAUUCCGUCGGAAUCCGGGAGGACCAUCUCCCAAGGCUAAAUACUCCCUAGUGACCGAUAGUGAACCAGUACCGUGAGGGAAAGGUGAAAAGCACCCCGGAAGGGGAGUGAAACAGUUCCUGAAACCGUGUGCCUACAAGUAGUUAGAGCCCGUUAAUGGGUGAUAGCGUGCCUUUUGUAGAAUGAACCGGCGAGUUACGAUUUGUUGCAAGGUUAAGCGGAAAAAGCGGAGCCGUAGCGAAAGCGAGUCUGAAUAGGGCGCAUAAGUAACAGGUCGUAGACCCGAAACCAGGUGAUCUACCCAUGUCCAGGAUGAAGGUAAGGUAAUACUUACUGGAGGUCCGAACCCACGCACGUUGAAAAGUGCGGGGAUGAGGUGUGGGUAGCGGAGAAAUUCCAAUCGAACUUGGAGAUAGCUGGUUCUCUCCGAAAUAGCUUUAGGGCUAGCCUCGAGGUAAAGAGUCAUGGAGGUAGAGCACUGUUUGGACUAGGGGCCCUUCUCGGGUUACCGAAUUCAGAUAAACUCCGAAUGCCAUGUACUUAUACUCGGGAGUCAGACUGCGAGUGAUAAGAUCCGUAGUCGAAAGGGAAACAGCCCAGACCACCAGUUAAGGUCCCCAAAUAUAUGUUAAGUGGAAAAGGAUGUGGGGUUGCUUAGACAACCAGGAUGUUGGCUUAGAAGCAGCCACCAUUGAAAGAGUGCGUAAUAGCUCACUGGUCGAGUGACCCCGCGCCGAAAAUGUACCGGGGCUAAACAUAUUACCGAAACUGUGGAUGAACCUCUUUAGAGGUUCGUGGUAGGAGAGCGUUCUAAGGGCGGUGAAGUCAGACCGGAAGGACUGGUGGAGCGCUUAGAAGUGAGAAUGCCGGUAUGAGUAGCGAAAGAAGGGUGAGAAUCCCUUCCACCGAAUAUCUAAGGUUUCCUGAGGAAGGCUCGUCCGCUCAGGGUUAGUCGGGACCUAAGCCGAGGCCGAUAGGCGUAGGCGAUGGACAACAGGUAGAGAUUCCUGUACCAGUGCUAAUUGUUUAACCGAUGGGGUGACACAGAAGGAUAGGGAAUCGCACGAAUGGAAAUGUGCGUCCAAGCAGUGAGUGUGAGAAGUAGGCAAAUCCGCUUCUCGCGAAGCAUGAGCUGUGAUGGGGAAGGAAAUUAAGUACGGAAGUUCCUGAUUUCACGCUGUCAAGAAAAGCCUCUAGGAAGAGUAGUACUGCCCGUACCGCAAACCGACACAGGUAGAUGAGGAGAGAAUCCUAAGGUGAGCGAGAGAACUCUCGUUAAGGAACUCGGCAAAAUGACCCCGUAACUUCGGGAGAAGGGGUGCUCUAUUAGGGUGCAAGCCCGAGAGAGCCGCAGUGAAUAGGCCCAGGCGACUGUUUAGCAAAAACACAGGUCUCUGCAAAACCGUAAGGUGACGUAUAGGGGCUGACGCCUGCCCGGUGCUGGAAGGUUAAGAGGAGUGCUUAGCUUCGGCGAAGGUACGAAUUGAAGCCCCAGUAAACGGCGGCCGUAACUAUAACGGUCCUAAGGUAGCGAAAUUCCUUGUCGGGUAAGUUCCGACCCGCACGAAAGGCGCAACGAUCUGGGCACUGUCUCAACGAGAGACUCGGUGAAAUUAUAGUACCUGUGAAGAUGCAGGUUACCCGCGACAGGACGGAAAGACCCCGUGGAGCUUUACUGCAACCUGAUAUGGAAUGUUUGUACCGCUUGUACAGGAUAGGUAGGAGCCGAAGAGACGUGUGCGCUAGCAUACGAGGAGGCAAUGGUGGGAUACUACCCUGGCUGUAUGACCAUUCUAACCCGCCACGCUUAGCGCGUGGGGAGACAGUGUCAGGUGGGCAGUUUGACUGGGGCGGUCGCCUCCUAAAGAGUAACGGAGGCGCCCAAAGGUUCCCUC